Pteropus alecto (black flying fox) is the source of this 74-nucleotide non-coding RNA. The record is from Rfam. NCBI's taxonomy places the organism in Eukaryota, Metazoa, Chordata, Mammalia, Chiroptera, Pteropodidae.
GGCUCCAUAGUGUAGUGGUUAGCACAUCUCCUUUACAUGCAGAAGGUCCUGGGUUUGCCCCCCAGGUGGAGCCA